GAAGCUGACCAGACAGUCGCCGCUUCGUCGUCGUCCUCUUAGGGGGAGACGGGCGGAGGGGAGGAAAGUCCGGGCUCCAUAGGGCAAGGUGCCAGGUAACGCCUGGGGGGUGUCACAGCCCACGACCAGUGCAACAGAGAGCAAACCGCCGAUGGCCCGCGCAAGCGGGAUCAGGUAAGGGUGAAAGGGUGCGGUAAGAGCGCACCGCGCGGCUGGUAACAGUCCGCGGCACGGUAAACUCCACCCGGAGCAAGGCCAAAUAGGGGUUCAUAAGGUACGGCCCGUACUGAACCCGGGUAGGCUGCUUGAGUCAGUGAGCGAUUGCUGGCCUAGAUGAAUGACUGUCCACGACAGAACCCGGCUUAUCGGUCAGUUUCACUC
RNAcentral lists this RNase P RNA (381 nucleotides) under Klebsiella aerogenes. RNAcentral describes it as "RNase P RNA component class A". It matches the Rfam family "Bacterial RNase P class A". From Rfam's summary of the family: Ribonuclease P (RNase P) is a ubiquitous endoribonuclease, found in archaea, bacteria and eukarya as well as chloroplasts and mitochondria. Its best characterised activity is the generation of mature 5'-ends of tRNAs by cleaving the 5'-leader elements of precursor-tRNAs. The record is from RNAcentral. Lineage: Bacteria; Pseudomonadati; Pseudomonadota; Gammaproteobacteria; Enterobacterales; Enterobacteriaceae.